This 363-nucleotide long non-coding RNA is filed under the name Pollicipes pollicipes. RNAcentral's name for it is "uncharacterized LOC119104637, transcript variant X1". Lineage: Eukaryota; Metazoa; Arthropoda; Thecostraca; Pollicipedomorpha; Pollicipedidae. The record is from RNAcentral.
AUAACGGAGCCACAACCAACCGGCGUUCACUUUUGGCUAGUCAGCCUUCAGUCAGCGACACGGUGGCGUGCAGCAGUUGCUAUUAGCAGUUGGCGAGAAAGUAGCGUGGACCUGCGUGGGGCGAUGCCAAGCGUUUUGGCCGGGAUCCAGAACGCCUGAUGCGUGAGAAGGCAGGCGCGGCAUUCAGCUUGGGAAAGGACUGCUCGCGCUGCUCCUGCGCUCGCCGUCCCCUGUUGGCGUGGAGCGAACUAGCUGUGGAAUGCUGACGUCACCGACCGCUCAACGGCUGGUUACGUCAUCCGAUAGCAAGCGCAGCAAUCAAUAACGGAGCCACAACCAAUCGGCGUCCACUUUUGGCUAGUC